This 253-nucleotide ribosomal RNA is filed under the name uncultured bacterium. Its description in RNAcentral is "partial 16S ribosomal RNA". It matches the Rfam family "Bacterial small subunit ribosomal RNA", at positions 524 to 776 of the family's 1533-position model. The record is from RNAcentral.
UACGUAGGGACCAAGCGUUGUUCGGAUUUACUGGGCGUAAAGGGCGCGUAGGCAGCGCGGUAAGUCACUUGUGAAAUCUCUGAGCUUAACUCAGAACGGCCAAGUGAUACUGCAGUGCUAGAGUGUGGAAGGGGCAAUCGGAAUUCUUGGUGUAGCGGUGAAAUGCGUAGAUAUCAAGAGGAACACCUGAGGUGAAGACGGGUUGCUGGGCCAACACUGACGCUGAGGCGCGAAAGCCAGGGGAGCAAACGGG